Molecule: small RNA, 251 nt
Filed under: Nannospalax galili (Upper Galilee mountains blind mole rat)
Lineage: Eukaryota; Metazoa; Chordata; Mammalia; Rodentia; Spalacidae
Description: Metazoan signal recognition particle RNA (ENSNGAG00000008409.1)
Source: RNAcentral
GCCAGGCUUGGUGGCGCACGCCUUUAAUCCCAGCACUUGGGAGGCAGAGGCAGGUGGAUCUUUGUGAGUUCGAGGCCAGCCUGGUCUACAUAGUGAGUUCCAAGACAGAUGGGGCUACAAGGAGACCCUGUCUCAAAAAAGAUAAAAAAAACAAACCAAAAAAACAGGGUCUCACCAUGUAGCCCUACCUGGCCUGGAACUUGCUAUGUAGCUCAGACUGGCCUUGAAUUCACACAGAUCUACCUGCCUCU